RNAcentral lists this ribosomal RNA (349 nucleotides) under uncultured bacterium. Its description in RNAcentral is "bacterial SSU rRNA". It matches the Rfam family "Bacterial small subunit ribosomal RNA", at positions 32 to 359 of the family's 1533-position model. The record is from RNAcentral.
AAUCAACGCUGGCGGCGUGCCUCAGACAUGCAAGUCGAACGCGAAAGUUUCCUUCGGGGAGCGAGUAGAGUGGCGCACGGGUGAGUAACACGUAGGUAAUCUACCUUCGGAUGGGGAAUAACAAUCGGAAACGGUUGCUAAUACCGCAUAAUGCAGCGGCACCUAAUGGUGACAGUUGUUAAAGCGGAGGAUCGUAAGACCUCGCGUCUGAAGAGGAGCCUGCGGCGGAUAGCUUGUUGGUAAGGUAAUGGCUUACCAAGGCGACGAUCCGUAACCGGCCUGAGAGGGCGGGUCGGUCACACUGACACUGACAUACGGGUCAGACUCCGUACGGGAGGCAGCAGUCGGG